Molecule: ribosomal RNA, 468 nt
Filed under: uncultured bacterium
Lineage: Bacteria
Description: partial 16S ribosomal RNA
Rfam family: Bacterial small subunit ribosomal RNA
Source: RNAcentral
GACGAACGCUGGCGGCGUGCUUAACACAUGCAAGUCGAACGGAAAGGCCCUGCUUUUGUGGGGUGCUCGAGUGGCGAACGGGUGAGUAACAAGUGAGUAACCUGCCCUUGACUUUGGGAUAACUUCAGGAAACUGGGGCUAAUACCGGAUAGGAGCUCCUGCUGCAUGGUGGGGGUUGGAAAGUUUCGGCGGGUGGGGAUGGACUCGCGGCUUAUCAGCGUGUUGGUGGGGUAGUGGCUUACCAAGGCUUUGACGGGUAGCCGGCCUGAGAGGGUGACCGGCCACAUUGGGACUGAGAUACGGCCCAGACUCCUACGGGAGGCAGCAGUGGGGAAUAUUGCACAAUGGGCGGAAGCCUGAUGCAGCAACGCCGCGUGCGGGAUGACGGCCUUCGGGUUGUAAACCGCUUUCGCCUGUGACGAAGCGUGAGUGACGGUAAUGGGUAAAGAAGCACCGGCUAACUACGUG